RNAcentral lists this long non-coding RNA (220 nucleotides) under Gossypium barbadense (sea-island cotton). Its description in RNAcentral is "long non-coding RNA (GBAR_LNC021519)". Lineage: Eukaryota; Viridiplantae; Streptophyta; Magnoliopsida; Malvales; Malvaceae. The record is from RNAcentral.
GGGUGGAAGAAAGCCUUCCAUGAAUUGCUCAACACAUUGAAGAGGAAGGCAAAAGACUGAGAUGGUUUGCGGGAUAGGCUUUUCUUUUCUCAUCGUGACAUCUAGAUUACUAAAAGUAGCUUUUAGAGUCUUCCAUUGUUGGAAGCUAGUCGAACCUGUUAAUAUCUAGACAUUAUUUUCUGGUUGGCUUUUAUUACUUACACCAUUAUCUUGGUUGUAC